Molecule: non-coding RNA, 125 nt
Organism: Podarcis lilfordi (Lilford's wall lizard)
Lineage: Eukaryota; Metazoa; Chordata; Lepidosauria; Squamata; Lacertidae
Source: the annotation of a GenBank genome assembly
UUCCCAAACUUGGGUCUCCAGCUGUUUUUGGACUACAACUCCCAUCAUCUCUAGCUAGCAAGACCAGUGGUCAGGGAUGAUGGGAACUGCAGUCCAAAAACAGCUGGAGACCCAAGUUUGGGAAA